RNAcentral lists this small RNA (1727 nucleotides) under Pongo abelii (Sumatran orangutan). Its description in RNAcentral is "retained intron". Lineage: Eukaryota; Metazoa; Chordata; Mammalia; Primates; Hominidae. The record is from RNAcentral.
GCCAGGGCCAGCAGCCUUCAGUUCGUAGCUGGCAGUAGAAGGAGGAGGAGCUCCCACUACAUUCUGUCACUUGUGCCUCUUGGACUUUUUUGUGUGUUUAGGUGCCCAAUGGGGAGCAAACUGACUUGCUGCCUGGGCCCCAGCGGUGGCCUCAACUGUGACAGCUGCAGGCCAGAUGUGGGACCCUGCCAUGAGUGUGAGAUUCCUGAGACUGUGGCAGCCGCAGCACCAGCAUCCACCACUGCAAAGCCUGCCAAAUUGGAUUUGAAAGCCGCGAAGGCCCAACACAUGCAGUACCUCAGCCUCCCGAAGACGCCGAAGAUGCCAAAGAUGCCCAAAGGUUUGGACGCCCACUCCAAGCGCUGGUUAAAAAUAAUAUGGAGACGGCACGGAAUUUGGCCUCUAGAAAAUAUAGGUCCCACUGAAGAUGUGCAGGCAUCUGCACACAGCGGUGUGGAGGAGAAUAUAACGUCAGAUAUUGAAAUAUCUGAGGCCGAGCACGACCACCGUACGUAUUCUUUUUUUUAAAAAAAGCUUUAUUUAGAUGUAGUUGACAUGCAAAACAAUUCACCCAUUUAAUGUAAGUGAUUCAGCGUUUUUACUAUAUUCACAGGGUUGUGCAACUAUUGUUACAAUCUAAUCUUAGAACCUCUUUAUUCCCCCUCAAAGAAACCCCACUAGUAGUCACUCCUUUGUCUUUCCCAAGCUCCCACACCCCUGGAUCUAGGCAGCCACAAAUGUACUUCCCGUUUCUAUAGUACAGUGCCUUUCUGUGUUAACCGAUUCUUAGGGUGACUAUUUCACAUUCAUGAGGUUGCUGUAGCUGGAAAGCCAAGGCUCUUUCAUUUGUUUCUGCCCUUCUCCUUUGCCUUCCUUCAACACCAAGGAGAAUGGUCCAGUAGCAGCUCAGUCCAUGCCUGUCAACUGCCCACCUCCAUACACUCCAGCCCCGGUCCACAUCCCCCAAGGCUCCUUGUGGGAUUCCUCAGCAACACCAAUGCACUGACUGUCACUAUGUUCUCCUAGAUUUGGUCAAAGAUCUCAAUGAAGGCUCAUCUGUCUGUCUUGAAGACCUCGUGACACAGGAGAUGGCAAAGGAGAGAUGCGAAGAUUACCUCUGCUGGGUUAAAAUGGCACAAUCUCGGCUCAAUGAACCCAUCAGCUCCCAGGUUCGAGGACUUCUCCGGCUUCCGUGUCCCGAGUAGCUGGGAUUACAGAUGCCUGCCAUCACGCCCAGCUAAAAUCAUUUUAUGAAUGCAUAUUUCCAUCUGGGUGAAAAAAAAUCAUAAGCCUCUCUCCCUUCCUACUGAGCACCUGUGAACAGUGACCUGCAGUUUGUGGCUGCAGCCAGUCCUCAUGGAGCCUGGUGUUCCUACAUUUCAUUCUGAGGCUCACAUUCUCAGUCACUCUGCAGGAGAACACCCGCCCCAUACUGGGUCAUUACAGAGUGGGCCAAUCCAUCUGCUGCAUCUGAGGAGCUGGGUCCAGCUUCUACGGUGAAUCCAUAUAUUUCUGUAUUUCCUGGAUAAGGAAGAGGAAAGGAGCUGAGCUGGUGGAGGAAGAAGAGCUAAUAUUAACUGACUCCUUAUUUUGUACCAGGUACUGUGGUAGUUACAUAUUUUAUCUCAUGUAAUUCUUACCAAACAGUAAGGGGGGUUGGGAGUGAUGGAGACAAUAUUGAUGUUAUCUCCAUUUUAGGGUGAGAAAAUGAAGGCUCAGAAAGGUUA